RNAcentral lists this ribosomal RNA (253 nucleotides) under uncultured bacterium. RNAcentral's name for it is "partial 16S ribosomal RNA". It matches the Rfam family "Bacterial small subunit ribosomal RNA", at positions 524 to 776 of the family's 1533-position model. The record is from RNAcentral.
UACGGAGGGAGCUAGCGUUGUUCGGAAUUACUGGGCGUAAAGCGCACGUAGGCGGCUUUGUAAGUUAGAGGUGAAAGCCCGGGGCUCAACUCCGGAACUGCCUUUAAGACUGCAUCGCUUGAAUCCAGGAGAGGUGAGUGGAAUUCCGAGUGUAGAGGUGAAAUGCGUAGAUAUCUGGAGGAACACCGGUGGCGAAGGCGGCAUCCUGGACCAACACUGACACUGAGGAGCGAGAGCCAGGGGAGCAAACGGG